RNAcentral lists this ribosomal RNA (806 nucleotides) under uncultured bacterium. Its description in RNAcentral is "bacterial SSU rRNA". It matches the Rfam family "Bacterial small subunit ribosomal RNA", at positions 8 to 796 of the family's 1533-position model. The record is from RNAcentral.
AGAGUUUGAUCAUGGCUCAGGAUGAACGCUGGCGGCGUGCCUAAUACAUGCAAGUCGAGCGAACAGACGAGGAGCUUGCUCCUCUGACGUUAGCGGCGGACGGGUGAGUAACACGUGGGUAACCUACCUAUAAGACUGGGAUAACUCCGGGAAACCGGGGCUAAUACCGGAUAAUACAUGAAACCGCAUGGUUUCAUGAUGAAAGACGGUUUUGCUGUCACUUAUAGAUGGACCCGCGGCGUAUUAGCUAGUUGGUAAGGUAACGGCUUACCAAGGCAACGAUACGUAGCCGACCUGAGAGGGUGAUCGGCCACACUGGAACUGAGACACGGUCCAGACUCCUACGGGAGGCAGCAGUAGGGAAUCUUCCGCAAUGGGCGAAAGCCUGACGGAGCAACGCCGCGUGAGUGAUGAAGGUCUUCGGAUCGUAAAACUCUGUUAUUAGGGAAGAACAUAUGUGUAAGUAACUGUGCACAUCUUGACGGUACCUAAUCAGAAAGCCACGGCUAACUACGUGCCAGCAGCCGCGGUAAUACGUAGGUGGCAAGCGUUAUCCGGAAUUAUUGGGCGUAAAGCGCGCGUAGGCGGUUUUUUAAGUCUGAUGUGAAAGCCCACGGCUCAACCGUGGAGGGUCAUUGGAAACUGGAAAACUUGAGUGCAGAAGAGGAAAGUGGAAUUCCAUGUGUAGCGGUGAAAUGCGCAGAGAUAUGGAGGAACACCAGUGGCGAAGGCGACUUUCUGGUCUGUAACUGACGCUGAUGUGCGAAAGCGUGGGGAUCAAACAGGAUUAGAUACCCUGGUAGUCC